CAUAUUUGACAUGGUAAUAGUUGCUUUAAUGGUUUGAUCCAUCUUGAACUUUGAACUGGUUGGACAUGUUUCAGCUUGGUCUUCAGGUGAAAUAACUGGUGUAGUGGCAGAAAUUUCGCGAAGCAGCUCAGAUGGCCAAAAUGGAAGCUGAAAAUUUUGUAAACCUUCUGCGCACAAAAGAACUUGAGUUGGAUGCUUGUCGGAAGGAGGUUGAGAUGCUUAAGCUGGAGAUUGGUCAUCUCAAUAAUAGAAUCACAGAGGAUCACAGCUAUUGGUGGUAUUGUUGACAUAUCAAUUUUUAGAAGGUUCCCAUCUGUAUCUUUUGGACUUUCAAGCACUCCAGGUUCAUCUAAUGUGUCCAGCUGUUCUCCGACUGGCUUUGCUCGCCACUCCUCCGGCGCUGCUGCCUUUUAUCCUCCUCUACAUUGAAAGAGUGUUGAAGAGGCAGAAUGUCGUAGGGCAUAUAAUUCUGCUACUGAGGCAUACACUUCAUCUUUUGACCGCACGAAGCCAGUAGAGGAGGAUGUUCUUAGAGAAGCACACGAAGUUGCGGUUCAAAAUGCUCACUGAAGUCAUUCACUGAAACUUUUAUGGCAAAGAUGAAAUCAUAUCC
Long non-coding RNA from Asparagus officinalis (garden asparagus), 613 nucleotides. RefSeq lists it as uncharacterized. Lineage: Eukaryota; Viridiplantae; Streptophyta; Magnoliopsida; Asparagales; Asparagaceae. The transcript is spliced from 6 exons. The record is from RefSeq and is a predicted model, not a curated record.